CCUAGUACGAGAGGACCGGAGUGGACGAACCUCUGGUGUUCGGGUUGUGUCGCCAGACGCAUUGCCCGGUAGCUAAGUUCGGAAUCGAUAACCGCUGAAAGCAUCUAAGCGGGAAGCGAGCCCUGAGAUGAGUCUUCCCUGAUACUUUAAGUAUCCUAAAGGGUUGUCGGAGACUACGACGUUGAUAGGUCAGGUGUGUAAGUGCUGUGAGGCAUUGAGCUAACUGAUACUAAUUGCCCGUGAGGCUUAACCAUACAACACCCAAGGGGUUU
This 272-nucleotide ribosomal RNA is filed under the name Vibrio parahaemolyticus. RNAcentral's name for it is "partial 23S ribosomal RNA". It matches the Rfam family "Bacterial large subunit ribosomal RNA", at positions 2677 to 2925 of the family's 2925-position model. The record is from RNAcentral. Lineage: Bacteria; Pseudomonadati; Pseudomonadota; Gammaproteobacteria; Vibrionales; Vibrionaceae.